Molecule: ribosomal RNA, 253 nt
Filed under: uncultured bacterium
Lineage: Bacteria
Description: partial 16S ribosomal RNA
Rfam family: Bacterial small subunit ribosomal RNA
Source: RNAcentral
UACGUAGGGCGCAAGCGUUGUCCGGAAUUAUUGGGCGUAAAGAGCUCGUAGGUGGCGUGUCGCGUCUGCCGUGAAAGCCCAUGGCUUAACUGUGGGUCUGCGGUGGAUACGGGCAGGCUGGAGGCUGGUAGGGGCAAGCGGAAUUCCUGGUGUAGCGGUGAAAUGCGUAGAUAUCUGGAGGAACACCGGUGGCGAAGGCGGCAUCCUGGACCGACACUGACGCUGAGGAGCGAAAGCCAGGGGAGCAAACGGG